Molecule: ribosomal RNA, 484 nt
Filed under: uncultured bacterium
Lineage: Bacteria
Description: partial 16S ribosomal RNA
Rfam family: Bacterial small subunit ribosomal RNA
Source: RNAcentral
AUUGAACGCUGGCGGCAGGCCUAACACAUGCCAGUCGAGCGGAUGAAGGGAGCUUGCUCCUGGAUUCAGCGGCGGACGGGUGAGUAAUGCCUAGGAAUCUGCCUGGUAGUGGGGGAUAACGUCCGGAAACGGGCGCUAAUACCGCAUACGUCCUGAGGCAGAAAGUGGGGGAUCUUCGGACCUCACGCUAUCAGAUGAGCCUAGGUCGGAUUAGCUAGUUGGUGGGGUAAAGGCCUACCAAGGCGACGAUCCGUAACUGGUCUGAGAGGAUGAUCAGUCACACUGGAACUUAGACACGGUCAAGACUCCUAAGGGAGGCAGCAGUGGGGAAUAGUGGACAAUGGGCGAAAGCAUGAUCCAGCCAUGCCGCGUGUGUGAAGAAGGUCUUCGGAUUGUAAAGCCCUUUAAGUUGGGAGGAAGCGCAGUAAGUUAAUACCUUGCUGUUUUGACGUUACCAACAGAAUAAGCACCGGCUAACUUCGUG